CAAUAGCGUAUAUUUAAGUUGUUGCAGUUAAAAGCUCGUAGUUGGAUUUCGGAUGUGAACGACCGGUCCGCCGUUGCGGUGUGCACUGGACGUUCGUAUCUUGUUGUCGGGAGCGCGCUCCUGGCCUUAACUGGUCGGGACGCGGAGUCGGCGCUGUUACUUUGAAAAAUUAGAGUGUUCAAAGCGGCUUACGCUUGAAUAUUUCAGCAUGGAAUAACACUAUAGGACUCCUGUCCUAUUUCGUUGGUCUCGGGACGGAGUAAUGAUUAAGAGGAACAGUUGGGGCAUUCGGUAUUUCUUGUCAUGAGGUGAAAUUGCUUGGAAUUUCUAGUGAAGUAUCAGAA
RNAcentral lists this ribosomal RNA (344 nucleotides) under uncultured eukaryote. Its description in RNAcentral is "bacterial SSU rRNA". It matches the Rfam family "Eukaryotic small subunit ribosomal RNA", at positions 592 to 944 of the family's 1831-position model. The record is from RNAcentral.